CGGGCCGCCUCUCACCUGUGUCGAGGUUGAAGGAGAUGCGGGCCUCGGCGAGGUAGGGGGUGUCGCUCUUGGAGCGGACGCGGCGGAUGGGUCUGCGGUCGAUGUCCUCCUCGGAAGAUGCCGCCAUUAAUGUGGGCACGCUUUUCUACGUAGGACUUUUCUUCACUGCUCAAUGGGAGAGAGAAUGACAGUGUGCUAGAAAUUGAGAAGAAGCCUCAUCCAUUCAAAGAUGCUGCUCCUGACCUUUUGUUCAGCAGAGAGAGAAUAUAAAGCAACGUCUACAAAACUUCUGCAUUUGGAAGCAACACAAUGUACUGAAAAGCCUGGAGACCAAAUAUGAAGACAAAAAUCUGCAAAACGUGGCUGCUGCUUUGGCCUGAUGGAUUUCAUUGCUGCACUUUUGUCCUCUUCCUAUGGGUGAGCCACUCCACCUGGCCCCAGGAUGCCAGGCCAUGCAGAAGAUGUAGAUGUGGCUUCUCAGUAUGCAGAAAGCUUUGCCUCUGACUUGGCUGGAUUCUCUUUGCAACAAAGAGUCUCUACAAGAGAGAAAACUUACCAUGACUGAGUAGAGCUUAUUACAGACAGCUUGAUGGCAUCUCCAGAUGCUGAGAUGAAAUGAUGCAGAGGAGGAUAGAUUAUCUGAUGCACUGAUCCCAACUGGUCCCAAAGGAGAAAGUUGUUCUAUCUUAUGAGGACUUUACUGUGUUGCUCUCUACUCCCUCAAGAGUUGUGUCUGCCUAUGAGCAGUGUGCAAAUAAAAAGCACCAUUUACAGAAAGGAUCCUUCUUUUAGCUCUGCAGCAGCUGCAAAUCCUGAGAGUGAUCUUGUUCACUUCUUAGACACCAGAAAAACCUUUGUGGCAGAACUAUCAUAAAGCUUUAUGUUCAUAUAGCACCUCUAGAACAGCUUCUCAGGACAGACCUGUGUGUGGUUUCCUAAUAAAAAUAAUGAGUGAAUAAUCAUUGACAGUAUACAUGCAACUUUGCUUUCCAAAGCAUGGAGCCACAAGACAGAGUUUAUCAAUCAAGGACGACAAAGCAAUUAUGAGCAGUCCCUGGAGAAUUAAUCCUUCAAGAAUGCAUGAAAUCAAUCUGGCAGCCUCUGAAAUACACAGUCCAGUUGCUUAUGUCCAUACAAAUAUUCACCCUCUUACCAUGGAGGCACUAAGGAGUGCAGAUUAAAAGGAUUGUUUCAGGAUUGAAACAGUCACUCUGCAGCAAGAAGCCAAAUAAAGACUGAUAAUUAUUUUAUCUGUGCUGAACAACAUUGUUAGCAAAUUGCACAUUAUUAUGACAAAAUACCAUCAACAACAUGACAAUCUCCUGUUGUAUGCUGGGGCAUUUGGCACACAGCGCUGCCGAGUCAAAUGUUUGUUCCCUUUCUGAUGAAUGGUGUUUGUUUUUUGUCUGUUG
Molecule: long non-coding RNA, 1412 nt
Organism: Prinia subflava (tawny-flanked prinia)
Lineage: Eukaryota; Metazoa; Chordata; Aves; Passeriformes; Cisticolidae
Exons: 4
Source: RefSeq, a predicted model, not a curated record